RNAcentral lists this transfer RNA (92 nucleotides) under Pseudobdellovibrionaceae bacterium. Its description in RNAcentral is "Bdellovibrionaceae bacterium tRNA-Ser". It matches the Rfam family "tRNA". Rfam says of the family: Transfer RNA (tRNA) molecules are approximately 80 nucleotides in length. Their secondary structure includes four short double-helical elements and three loops (D, anti-codon, and T loops). The record is from RNAcentral. Lineage: Bacteria; Pseudomonadati; Bdellovibrionota; Bdellovibrionia; Bdellovibrionales; Pseudobdellovibrionaceae.
GGAGGAGUGGGUGAGUGGCUGAAACCAGCUGAUUGCUAAUUAGCCGUACGGGUCAAACCGUACCGCGGGUUCGAAUCCCGCCUCCUCCGCCA